GUGGUCUUGAUGCAGACAUGACUUUGACAAACCAGCCUUGCAGUAGCUGCCAGCCGUAUUGAAGAGAUGUUUUUAAUGAGGCAACUUCACCAAAGUCCAGUGGGAGGAUAAGCCUCCACAGAGACGUAAAAUGCCAACAGGGUUCGACGAUUCCAUUCGUCUCUACUGCAGCUUGUCCUCUGUCGGGCAUUUUCCUGAAAUCGCCCCUCUAGUAUCAAGAUGUUGUCACCUGGUUGAAGAGAAGCCUCGAAACGCGUUAGUUUGCAUGCAAAACAGGCAAAGUGCAGCUGCCCUAUGAGCCCUUUGGUUUGGGGGAAAAGAGGCAUCCUCGUCGUGCAAGUAACUCCGUCGUUCCACCUUAAAAAACUCUUCCGGUUUUCCAGACAUCCCCUUUAAGAGAGGCUCCAGGUGCUCCUCGGAGUCAGCAGGGGGCGCUGUCAGACCGCGCCAUCGCUCGGAGCAGACUGUACCAGAGAGAGGGGCACAGCGGGGGGAAUCAAACACAUUUUGCCUGUCCAUUUUUUAUACGGAAUUCGCGCAUAUUUGGUGUUUUCGUUUCACAUGUUUGUUCAGUUACUCCCAGACGUUUUCACACCCCUCGCCUCAAAAGAGACGCACAUUUCCUCCCAGACCCCCCAGUUUGAUCAGAUUUCGUCCCCGGCCAUAUGGGAACAUUUUUGGUUUUGAUUUAAUAUUGAGCUGUGGAACUGUAUAACAAAAAGAUAACAGUGGCGAGGGGGAGAAAG
Long non-coding RNA from Myripristis murdjan (pinecone soldierfish), 746 nucleotides. RefSeq lists it as uncharacterized. The record is from RefSeq and is a predicted model, not a curated record. The transcript is spliced from 3 exons. NCBI's taxonomy places the organism in Eukaryota, Metazoa, Chordata, Actinopteri, Holocentriformes, Holocentridae.